ACAAAGGUGGCUUCCACAGUGCAUAGUGGUUAUCAGCUGUGCCUCCCUCUUAGAGGUCCUCGGAGUCCAGAGUCCUCGAAGGGAAAUCUGACACAAAGAAGCAGCAGGUAAAUGAAGGAGAAAAGAAAAGAACAAAAUCCACCGGGAACCAGAGACUUCCAGGCUCCAAAGACAGGCAAUCUCCACCAGGAACAUAUGACCUAGGAGCAGGAGUGAAGGAUGGGAGUGAAGCAAGGAAGGAAAGAGAGUCGAUUACAGAGCUGUUUCGUUGAGCUGGUCACAGCUCCUGUGUCCAAUCUCGUGGGGCUGCCUGAGAUGUCUUGAAGUCAUAAGCCCAGAGAAAGAACAGAGGGGAUGCCUUUAUCCACUGGAUCCAUUUUUCCAAUGAUCAAAGGGCUGGAGUGCAGCUGAGGUCUGGCUUUAGCCAAGGAGAGCACCUUGAAACCUGGCAGAGAAUUACAGUGAACCAGAAGACUAAGUGAAGCAUGAACUGGCAUAAUAUGCUUUCCUGGCUGAAAACCAUGAAUGACCCAGAAUAGUUCAUAUCUUUGGAAGAUCCUUAUUUUCCUUGUAAAUGAAAGUCAUGCAUUUGGAAUAAUAACAUGAAAUGAUGUGAAUGGUAGGGACUCAAAAACUUUCUCUUCCAAAAAUAUUCUACAGAUUCAUGCUCAGGAAAGCCAAAUGCUCUACAAUAGGAUGAAGUGGCUCCAGGAGAGUUCUGUUUACUACUUUAAUAAGUGACUAAAUAUAUGGUAUUUACGCAUAUGAAAUUGGCUUAACUAGGACAUCUCAUUUCCUAGCCUUUGCAUAUAAAAGAGAAUUGACAGUAAUUCAGGUUAACUCAAAAUGUAUCAUUUAAUUGUCUUUGUCCCACAUGACUAGUAAGUAGGUCACUAGCCACUUUUUUUUUUUUUGAGACAGAGUCUUGCUGUGUUGCCCAGGCUGGAGUGCAGUGGCAUGAUCUUGGCUCACUGCAACUUCCAACUCCUAGAUUCAAGCGAUUCUUCUGCCUCAGCCUCCUGAGUAGCUGGGUUUACAGUCAUGCGCCACCAUGCCAGGCUAAUUUUUUGUAUUUUUAGGAGAGACAGGGUUUCGCCAUGUUUGGCAGGCUAGUCUCGAACCCCUGACCUCAGAGAUCCACCCAUCUCAGCCUCCAGAAGUGCUGGGAUUACAGGCAUGAGCCACCGCGCCCGGCCACCAGCCACUUCUAACCCUACUCUCUCUCGGAAGUUUUGAGUUGUAUGCACACUCAGACCUCUUUGCUUUCCCAGUGUAUCAGUUUUGACCUAAUCCUUUUUCUAUGUAUUUAACUCUUGCUAUAGUUCCUUUGGAUCGUAUAGUAAGAUUGCCAAGUGAAAAACUCCUGAUGUGUGUUCAAGUCAUAGACUCCAUUUCUAAAUCUCCAAAUUCAUAUGUUUCAUUUCUUAUCACCUUCUCCUUCCUCCUUCUGUCUCUACUUCUGUUAUUCUGUUCCUGCUUAUCCCAUUGGUCCUGUCUUAAGUUAUCCCUUGG
Molecule: long non-coding RNA, 1512 nt
Filed under: Homo sapiens (human)
Lineage: Eukaryota; Metazoa; Chordata; Mammalia; Primates; Hominidae
Description: HSALNT0357027
Source: RNAcentral